AACGAACGCUGGCGGCAGGCCUAACACAUGCAAGUCGAACGCUCCGCAAGGGGAGUGGCAGACGGGUGAGUAACACGUGGGAAUCUUCCUAUUGGUAUGGAAUAGCUCAGGGAAACUUGGGUAAUACCGUAUAAGCCCGAGAGGGGAAAGAUUUAUCGCCAAUAGAUGAGCCCGCGUCUGAUUAGCUAGUUGGUGAGGUAAUGGCUCACCAAGGCGACGAUCAGUAGCUGGUCUGAGAGGAUGAUCAGCCACACUGGGACUGAGACACGGCCCAGACUCCUACGGGAGGCAGCAGUGGGGAAUAUUGGACAAUGGGCGCAAGCCUGAUCCAGCCAUGCCGCGUGAGUGACGAAGGUCUUCGGAUUGUAAAGCUCUUUUGGCGGGGACGAUAAUGACGGUACCCGCAGAAUAAGCCCCGGCUAACUUCGUGCCAGCAGCCGCGGUAAUGUGACUACUG
This 457-nucleotide ribosomal RNA is filed under the name uncultured bacterium. RNAcentral describes it as "bacterial SSU rRNA". It matches the Rfam family "Bacterial small subunit ribosomal RNA", at positions 29 to 534 of the family's 1533-position model. The record is from RNAcentral.